CAGUAGCCGCGGUAAUACAGAGGGUGCGAGCGUUAAUCGGAUUUACUGGGCGUUAAGCGUGCGUAGGCGGCUUUUUAAGUCGGAUGUGAAAUCCCUGAGCUUAACUUAGGAAUUGCAUUCGAUACUGGGAAGCUAGAGUAUGGGAGAGGAUGGUAGAAUUCCAGGUGUAGCGGUGAAAUGCGUAGAGAUCUGGAGGAAUACCGAUGGCGAAGGCAGCCAUCUGGCCUAAUACUGACGCUGAGGUACGAAAGCAUGGGGAGCAAACAGGAUUAGAUACCCGUGUAGUCCCUGUCUCUUAUAC
Molecule: ribosomal RNA, 301 nt
Filed under: uncultured bacterium
Lineage: Bacteria
Description: partial 16S ribosomal RNA
Rfam family: Bacterial small subunit ribosomal RNA
Source: RNAcentral